AAAACGACUCUCGGCAACGGAUAUCUCGGCUCUCGCAUCGAUGAAGAACGUAGCGAAAUGCGAUACUUGGUGUGAAUUGCAGAAUCCCGUGAACCAUCGAGUCUUUGAACGCAAGUUGCGCCCCACGCCUUCUGGCCGAGGGCACGUCUGCCUGGGUGUCACAA
Molecule: ribosomal RNA, 164 nt
Filed under: Cardamine debilis
Lineage: Eukaryota; Viridiplantae; Streptophyta; Magnoliopsida; Brassicales; Brassicaceae
Also listed under: 2 other names
Description: 5.8S ribosomal RNA
Rfam family: 5.8S ribosomal RNA
About the family: 5.8S ribosomal RNA (5.8S rRNA) is a component of the large subunit of the eukaryotic ribosome. It is transcribed by RNA polymerase I as part of the 45S precursor that also contains 18S and 28S rRNA.
Source: RNAcentral